AUUGAACGCUGGCGGCAUGCUUUACACAUGCAAGUCGAACGGUAACAGGCCUUCGGGUGCUGGCGAGUGGCGGACGGGUGAGUAAUGCAUCGGAACGUACCCAGCGGUGGGGGAUAACGCAGCUAAAGCUGUGCUAAUACCGCAUGUGAUCUGAGGAUGAAAGCGGGGGCCGGGCAGGAAUGUUUUGCCUCGCGGCGUUUGAACUGGCGGCGUCGGAGGAGCUAGUUGGGGGGGUAAAGGCCUAACAAGGCGACGGUCCGUAGCUGGUGUGGGGGGACGACCGGCCACACGGGGACUGAGACACGGCCCAGACGCCUACGGGAGGCAGCAGUGGGGAAUGUUGGACAAUGGGCGCAAGCCUGAUCCAGCAAGGCCGCGUGCGGGAAGAAGGCCUUCGGGUUGGAAACCGCCUUUGGCAGGAACGAAACGGUGUCCGCUAAUACCGGGCGCUAAUGACGGUACCUGCAGAAUAAGCACCGGCUAACUACGUG
This 491-nucleotide ribosomal RNA is filed under the name uncultured bacterium. RNAcentral describes it as "partial 16S ribosomal RNA". It matches the Rfam family "Bacterial small subunit ribosomal RNA", at positions 28 to 507 of the family's 1533-position model. The record is from RNAcentral.